This 253-nucleotide ribosomal RNA is filed under the name uncultured bacterium. RNAcentral describes it as "partial 16S ribosomal RNA". It matches the Rfam family "Bacterial small subunit ribosomal RNA", at positions 524 to 776 of the family's 1533-position model. The record is from RNAcentral.
UACGGGGGGAGCAAGCGUUGUUCGGAUUUACUGGGCGUAAAGGGCGCGUAGGCGGCGCAACAAGUCACUUGUGAAAUCUCCGGGCUUAACCCGGAGCGGCCAAGUGAUACUGUCGUGCUAGAGUGCGGAAGGGGCUACUGGAAUUCUCGGUGUAGCGGUGAAAUGCGUAGAUAUCGAGAGGAACACCUGCGGCGAAGGCGGGUAGCUGGGCCGAUACUGACGCUGAGGAGCGAAAGCGUGGGGAGCGAACGGG